UAUUAAUGAUGAUUUUAACGAGACAAGCAUAUGUCUGAAUAAAUUUGAUGUUAACUCAAAUCUGAUAUG
This is a small nucleolar RNA of Metopolophium dirhodum (rose-grain aphid), 69 nucleotides long. RefSeq annotates it as small nucleolar RNA SNORD27. The record is from RefSeq and is a predicted model, not a curated record. The transcript has a single exon. Lineage: Eukaryota; Metazoa; Arthropoda; Insecta; Hemiptera; Aphididae.